Molecule: ribosomal RNA, 19 nt
Filed under: Thanatephorus cucumeris
Lineage: Eukaryota; Fungi; Basidiomycota; Agaricomycetes; Cantharellales; Ceratobasidiaceae
Description: partial 18S ribosomal RNA
Source: RNAcentral
UUGAAUUUUAAUGAAGAGU